AUCAACACUCCAUUCUGCUAUCUCUCCAUCAAAUUUAAACACACCAUUNUCAUCAGUNAAAAAUUUUCCACUAUGGUGGACCACAAUCUUAAUUCGUUCCUCAGCCAUUAUGAAACUUUCUUUUAUAACCUGUACAUUGGGGGAGACAAAUAUUAUAUGUAUUACCUAAGUGGGGCACUCACUUACUCCCUACAUAUACACUAACACCGACACCGAUAGGGGACAUAGAACAAACCUAUAUCCCACUUACCCAUGAUUAAAAGGAAGGGGACCACUACACCGAAUAAAGAAUUCAAACAUGCAAAAUGGGACCACACACUCUAAACUACAAUAUAACCACUCAUCAUGCAAAAUGGGACCACAAAUCAUGCACACGACUUACAAACACACAAAAACCCAA
Molecule: long non-coding RNA, 400 nt
Filed under: Vigna radiata
Lineage: Eukaryota; Viridiplantae; Streptophyta; Magnoliopsida; Fabales; Fabaceae
Description: long non-coding RNA (VRAD_LNC004975)
Source: RNAcentral